RNAcentral lists this ribosomal RNA (229 nucleotides) under uncultured bacterium. Its description in RNAcentral is "partial 16S ribosomal RNA". It matches the Rfam family "Bacterial small subunit ribosomal RNA", at positions 568 to 796 of the family's 1533-position model. The record is from RNAcentral.
UGCGUAGGCGGAUUUAUAAGUCAGUGGUGAAAACCUGCAGCUUAACUGUAGAACUGCCAUUGAUACUGUUAGUCUUGAGUACGGUCAAGGUAGGCGGAAUGUGUAAUGUAGCGGUGAAAUACUUAGAUAUUACACAGAACACCGAUUGCGAAGGCAGCUUACUGGACCAUUACUGACGCUGAGGCACGAAGGCGUGGGGAGCGAACAGGAUUAGAUACCCUGGUAGUCC